CACUUCAAAACUGUGCUACACGCACAAUUGAUAUGGUGAUUGUAAUCAACUUGUUUAUCAAAUUAUAAUUUACAACAAUUUUAAACAAUACAAGAAAUUUAAAAUAGUAUGUGAAAAGCUAGUCCAAUAGUACGUAGAUUCUAACACCAAUUACAACUUGAAGCUUAAGUUUACAAGAUAUAUGCGUCUAGCAAAAUCUAGAAGAUGUAUGGAAUUAGAGCCUUGACAUCUUUAGGAAAAUCAUCAAAUUUAGAGAGGUACCAUUUUUUGGUGGCAUAACUCCUCCCCAUCAAGAGCAAAGCUGAUCCCAUGGUGAAGGAGAAUGCAUAUACUGUUUGAGAAAUGCAAGCAACUCCUGUAAACCCUAGGAUUUCAAAAAGAUAGUGUGGACAUACCACAAGAUCAAACAGACCCCCUCGGGGAAUUUUGUAUUCUUUUUCGCCCUCUUUCCUUAACUUGGAGAGGAGGUAAUGGUGGUAAAAAUUACCACUAAUUCAUACCAAGAACAUUACAACUCCGGCAUAUUUUAGAUCCACCGGCGGCUCGGGAAAUGUUCUGAUUAGGUAUUGAGCGUAGAUCAUGCUUAUCGUGUAAAGGAAAUAACUAAGGGAGAUGAAAAUUGUAACAUCAAGGGGCAUGGUGCCGCUGUAUUUGUGAAUGAAUAACACCUAUAAAAAAAAUACACCAUUUAAUUAAUCUUGUGAAUUACUUAUAUAUGUAGAUGAAGCACCAUAUACAUAUAUGGGCCUCCAUCCACAGCAACCGGUUGUUGGGGAGCAACCCAUUUUGGCCAGCCGGUAGAGCUUGUACCGGCUUAUAAAAAAAANNNNNNNNNNNNNNNNNNNNNNNNNNNNNNNNNNNNNNNNNNNNNNNNNNNNNNNNNNNNNNNNNNNNNNNNNNNNNNNNNNNNNNNNNNNNNNNNNNNNNNNNNNNNNNNNNNNNNNNNNNNNNNNNNNNNNNGUAAAUACAAUGCCACCGCGUAUUUACAAAAAUGUCACCGCAUCCCUCCAAAACUACGUCGUUUUGAUAAAAGAAUGUUAUUUAAGGCGGAAUGCUAUUUAAGGAGAAUGCUCUUGAUCCUGACCGUAUAUAUAUAUAUAUAUAUAUAUAUAUAUAUAUGUAUGUAUGUGUGUGUGUGUUAGAAUUUAAGAACGAAUAAUAUUACAGUCACACAAAUAUUAUAUGAAAGACAUAAAAAUAAGAACACGCAAUAUACUCAUGUUUACCAAUUUGGCUAGUCAUGCAUGUCUAAUGUAUUCAUUAGAUACCUCACACACUCUACAAUGAUUCACACAUCAAAUAAUAUUUUUAUAGUAACUAGAAAAACCCUAUCUGCUAUAGCAUGAGCUCAAAUACAUGAGGCCCAAUACAUUAGUAAAACCCAAGAUCAGGCUACUAAUAAAUCUCCGAGCCCAAUUGCACUUUGAGCUUGGCUUUUAGGGCCACUGUCCCCUUGCAACCUCAGCCAGCUCACCAGCGAGCUAGGCAUCCGCUAGCUCACCGGGGAGCGAGACCCCCGACUGUGUAGUCAUAGUGGUCAUUCGUCGAAUUCGCAAAAGUACGAGUCAAUCCUAACAUAUAUAUAUAUAUAUAUAUAUUAAUUUGCUAACCAAUAUAUCUAUUGUAAGUUAAACAAAAAUACUACUAAUUAUCAUAUUUGUUGUAUAUAAAAACUAAUUGAAUGAAUCAUAUAAAUUUUUAGUAUUUAGAAUUUCGUAAUAUUUACAUAAAAAAGCAUAAUGUAUUUCUAGUUUUAGAGCCAAAGGUGUAUAUUGUGUGUAAUAUGUAUUAUCCUAUGAAUCUUAAAAGUUAGAAUUUAAGCUCGGAUGAUAAAACUGAACUAUUUUUAAGUCCGAGGAUAAAAUAAGAAAAUAAGAGUAUUCUAAAUUUUUAGAGGAUAAAGGAUGAAAUAGAAAUUUUAAUAAAAAUUAGAGGACAAAUUAAACUGUUAUAAAAUUGGGACAGAGCCUUAAGAAAGGUAACACCAAGCAGGUGUUCCUCUAAAGCUUUAUAAUAAGAUAUAUAUUAUCUUAUGAAUCUUAAAAGAUAGAAUUUAAGCUCAGAGGAUAAAAAUGAAAAAAAAUAUUGAAGUCAGAGGAUAAAUAAGUAAAUAAAUAUAUUUUAAAUUUUUACCCAAAAGAUAUUUAAUUCAUCAUUUGAUGUUUAUUUGCAUAUAUUUUUGCUAAGAAACAAUUAUUGAAUUUUUUUGUUUAAAUAUGUCCCAAACUACUUUGAUAUGCUUAAAAGAUAGUUAAAAGAUGGACUAAUAAGACUAUCCAACAAUAUCAAUUGCCUAUAAUAAUAAUUCAUAAAAAUUAAAUGUGUAAAAAGAGAAAUUCUCAAAGUAAUAAAUUAAACUCAGUUAUUAGACAAAAAAAAGUAAUAAAAAUAGUUGCAGAUAAGACCAAUUGCAGACCACAUGAUGAGAGAGGUCACCUCAAAGAGCCUCUUGAAGAAAUGGAUGGCUAGAGCCAAAGAAACCAAAGUAAAUCUGAGACCCUCGUCGGGAAAGAGGCCGAAAGAGGUAACUCCGGCGAGAAAAGCCGGCGUCUAAGCUAAAAGCAUUCCAGUUCUACCAGAAAGUUUGAUCUGAGAAGUUGCAACAUUUUUAUCAAGGUUCCAAAAUUUGGAAUACGGAAUGUUUUUCCCUUUUAUUUCAUUGAACCCGGAGUUGGCUAGGGAUGCAACAUUGAUAACCGUCAUGGCGGUUAUGAACAAAGAUGGCGGCGGCGGGUAUAUAAAUCUCAGUAAUAUUGACAGCACCAUUUUCUUUUUAAUUAAUUCUGCGUGUUUGAUUGUAGUAUGUAUGUACGUAGUAGGGAGAUUGGAGAGUGAAGGAAAUAUGCAAAAAGAGAUAAUAUAUAUCAAUCACACGUUAUGCUUAUGGCCUAGAAAAUGCUUUUGGUUAUUAUUGGUGUACCAUACGCCAGAAUUGAGAGAUAGAGAGAGAAAUAUGUGAAGAGUUGUGAUUUUUGUGGAUUAAUUAUAUAAUUUUUAUAAUAAAAAAACGACCAUUAGUAAAAUUAUAGUUGUUACAGUUGGUAAAUGAAAGUUUAUUUAAUUUUUGGUUGGGUUUGAAAUCUGAAUUCUGAUGGAAUGAAAUUUUCAUGAAUGUGAUUGAUGGAUGAAUGAGAAGGUGUGUCAGCCCUUUGUUUAGAAGUUUAAUCUAGCUCAGAUAGUAGAAAACAAUUUUAUUUAUUAGUUUUUUUAGCAAUAAAAGAAUAACUUGUUGAAUUAAAUCUGAAGCCAUAAAGGAAAUUUUUACUGCUAUAAAUUUUCAUUUCAAGACUGUGCUACACCACACAAUUGAUAAUUUACAAUAUAAAUGUAAUCAACUUAAUUAUCAAAUUAUAAUUUACAACAAUUUUAAAUAAUACAAGAAAUUUAAUACAUUAUGUGAAAAGCUAGUCCAAUAGUACGUAGAUUCUAACACCAAUUACAACUUGAAGCUUAAGUUUACAAGAUAUAUGCGUCUGGCAAAAUCUAGAAAAUGUAUGGAAUUAGAGCCUUAACAUCUUUAGGAAAAUCAUCAAAUUUAGAGAGGUACCAUUUUUUGGUGGCAUAACUCCUCCCCAUCAAGACCAAAGCUGAUCCCAUAGUGAAGGAGAAUGCAUAUACCGUUUGAGAAAUGCAAGCAACUCCUGUAAACCCUAGGAUUUCAAAAAGAUAGUGUGGACAUACCACAAGAUCAAACAGACCCCCUCGGGGAAUUUUGUAUUCUUUUUCGCCUUCUUUCCUUAACUUGGAGAGGAGGUAAUGGUGGUAAAAAUUACCACUAAUUCCUACCAAGAACAUUGCAACUUCGACGUAUUUUAGAUCAAUCCGCGGCUCGGGAAAUGUUCCGGUUAGGUAUUGAGCGUAGAUCAUGCUUACUGUGUAAAGGAAAUAACUAAGGGAGAUGAAAAUUGUAACAUCAAGG
RNAcentral lists this long non-coding RNA (3919 nucleotides) under Panax ginseng (ginseng). RNAcentral describes it as "long non-coding RNA (PGIN_LNC018110)". Lineage: Eukaryota; Viridiplantae; Streptophyta; Magnoliopsida; Apiales; Araliaceae. The record is from RNAcentral.